RNAcentral lists this small RNA (125 nucleotides) under Marmota monax (woodchuck). The record is from RNAcentral. Lineage: Eukaryota; Metazoa; Chordata; Mammalia; Rodentia; Sciuridae.
GCUGGGUGCGGUGGUGCACACCUGUAAUCCCAGUGGUUCUGGAGGCUGAGGCAGGAGGAUCAUGACUUCAAAGCCAGUCUCAGCAAAAAUGAGGUGUUGAACAACUCAGUGAGACCCUGUUUGUA